CUUGUGCCAAGCAGCCGCGGUAAUUCCAGCUCCAAUAGCGUAUAUUAAAGUUGUUGCAGUUAAAAAGCUCGUAGUUGGAUCUCGGGUCCGGGCUCGCGGUCCACCUCGCGGUGGUUACUGCCCGUCCCGACCUACCUACCGGUUUUCCCUUGGUGCUCUUAACUGAGUGUCUCGGGUGGCCGGAACGUUUACUUUGAAAAAAUUAGAGUGUUCAAAGCAGGCGCUUCGCCUGAAUAAUGUUGCAUGGAAUAAUGGAAUAGGACCUCGGUUCUAUUUUGUUGGUUUUCGGAACUCGAGGUAAUGAUUAAGAGGGACAGACGGGGGCAUUCGUAUGAUGGUGUUAGAGGUGAAAUUCUUGGAUCGCCGUCAGACGAACUACUGCGAAAGCAUUUGCCAAGAAUGUUUUCAUUAAUCAAGAACGAAAGUCAGAGGUUCGAAGACGAUCAGAUACCGUCCUAGUUCUGACCAUAAACGAUGCCGACUAGCGAUCCGCCGGAGUUGUUUCAAUGACCCGGCGGGCAGCUUCCGGGAAACCAAAGUCUUUGGGUUCCGGGGGAAGUAUGGUUGCAAAGCUGAAACUUAAAGGAAUUGACGGAAGGGCACCACCAGGAGUGGAGCCUGCGGCUUAAUUUGACUCAACACGGGAAAGCUUACCCGGCCCGGACACCGUAAGGAUUGACAGAUUGAGAGCUCUUUCUUGAUUCGGUGGGUGGUGGUGCAUGGCCGUUCUUAGUUGGUGGAGCGAUUUGUCUGGUUAAUUCCGAUAACGAACGAGACUCUAGCCUAUUAAAUAGUUCGCCGAUUUCGAUCUGUCGGCGUUAACUUCUUAGAGGGACAAGUGGCUUUUAGCCACGCGAGAUUGAGCAAUAACAGGUCUGUGAU
RNAcentral lists this ribosomal RNA (882 nucleotides) under uncultured eukaryote. RNAcentral describes it as "SSU rRNA". It matches the Rfam family "Eukaryotic small subunit ribosomal RNA", at positions 561 to 1468 of the family's 1831-position model. The record is from RNAcentral.